Molecule: ribosomal RNA, 423 nt
Filed under: Triticum aestivum (bread wheat)
Lineage: Eukaryota; Viridiplantae; Streptophyta; Magnoliopsida; Poales; Poaceae
Description: partial small subunit ribosomal RNA
Source: RNAcentral
AUGGCCGGGAGCGCCAGAACCCCCUCCUCCUAUGAAUCGAUUCGUUCACCCUCCUGUCCGUCACCUUCCUCGCGUAUACCGGCAGGUGGUUGCAGACGGAGUCGUAGGCCGCCGCGGCGCUGCGCAGGAUGGCGCUCCUUCACGCCGCUUGAUGCGCCCCGGAUGAUGGAUCUGCCUCAGUACAAUGGAACGAGGAUUCUAACGUGUUGUAUGCACUCUACUUCUGCACAACGUGAUUUGCAAGGCGAUCACAAAGAAAGCCUGUAUUGGGGGACUUGCAGGCCAAUUGUAUAUCUCAGAAUUCGUGCUAGGCACUUAACUAUCCAACCCCAACUUGCUUGGGACAAAAGGACCGAAGACAUUCGUAUUGCUAGCAGCAUUAGUUUUUAUGCAAAGUGGGAAGCUUUAAUCUGCCGGACAUGA